UACAGAGGGUGCGAGCGUUGUCCGGAAUCACUGGGCGUAAAGGGCGCGUAGGCGGCUUGAUAAGCGUGCGGUGAAAGCCCGGGGCUCAACCCCGGGUCGGCCGUGCGAACUGUCGAGCUGGAGCACUGUAGAGGCAGGUGGAAUUCCGGGUGUAGCGGUGGAAUGCGUAGAUAUCAGGAGGAACACCGGUGGUGUAGACGGCUCACUGGACCGUAACUGACGCUGAGACACGAAAGCGUGGGUAGCAAACAGG
This 253-nucleotide ribosomal RNA is filed under the name uncultured bacterium. RNAcentral describes it as "partial 16S ribosomal RNA". It matches the Rfam family "Bacterial small subunit ribosomal RNA", at positions 524 to 776 of the family's 1533-position model. The record is from RNAcentral.